RNAcentral lists this ribosomal RNA (3113 nucleotides) under Salmonella enterica subsp. enterica serovar Senftenberg. RNAcentral's name for it is "23S ribosomal RNA". It matches the Rfam family "Bacterial large subunit ribosomal RNA". Lineage: Bacteria; Pseudomonadati; Pseudomonadota; Gammaproteobacteria; Enterobacterales; Enterobacteriaceae. The record is from RNAcentral.
GGGUUGUGAGGUUAAGCGACUAAGCGUACACGGUGGAUGCCCUGGCAGUCAGAGGCGAUGAAGGACGUGCUAAUCUGCGAUAAGCGCCGGUAAGGUGAUAUGAACCGUUAUAACCGGCGAUUUCCGAAUGGGGAAACCCAGUGUGACUCGUCACACUAUCAUUAACUGAAUCCAUAGGUUAAUGAGGCGAACCGGGGGAACUGAAACAUCUAAGUACCCCGAGGAAAAGAAAUCAACCGAGAUUCCCCCAGUAGCGGCGAGCGAACGGGGAGGAGCCCAGAGCCUGAAUCAGCAUGUGUGUUAGUGGAAGCGUCUGGAAAGGCGCGCGAUACAGGGUGACAGCCCCGUACACAAAAGCGCAUGUGCUGUGAGCUCGAUGAGUAGGGCGGGACACGUGGUAUCCUGUCUGAAUAUGGGGGGACCAUCCUCCAAGGCUAAAUACUCCUGACUGACCGAUAGUGAACCAGUACCGUGAGGGAAAGGCGAAAAGAACCCCGGCGAGGGGAGUGAAAAAGAACCUGAAACCGUGUACGUACAAGCAGUGGGAGCCCCACCACCAAAGCAUUCUCUGGUGUUGAAGGCCCUGCAAAGCAGCAUCGCGGUGGCGGAGCGUCGUUUGCGACGCCCAACACACAAAACAAGCGGUGAGUGCUUUGGGGUGGGGUGACUGCGUACCUUUUGUAUAAUGGGUCAGCGACUUAUAUUCUGUAGCAAGGUUAACCGAAUAGGGGAGCCGGAGGGAAACCGAGUCUUAACCGGGCGUUAAGUUGCAGGGUAUAGACCCGAAACCCGGUGAUCUAGCCAUGGGCAGGUUGAAGGUUGGGUAACACUAACUGGAGGACCGAACCGACUAAUGUUGAAAAAUUAGCGGAUGACCUGUGGCUGGGGGUGAAAGGCCAAUCAAACCGGGAGAUAGCUGGUUCUCCCCGAAAGCUAUUUAGGUAGCGCCUCGUGAAUUCAUCUCCGGGGGUAGAGCACUGUUUCGGCUAGGGGGCCAUCCCGGCUUACCAACCCGAUGCAAACUGCGAAUACCGGAGAAUGUUAUCACGGGAGACACACGGCGGGUGCUAACGUCCGUCGUGAAGAGGGAAACAACCCAGACCGCCAGCUAAGGUCCCAAAGUCAUGGUUAAGUGGGAAACGAUGUGGGAAGGCCCAGACAGCCAGGAUGUUGGCUUAGAAGCAGCCAUCAUUUAAAGAAAGCGUAAUAGCUCACUGGUCGAGUCGGCCUGCGCGGAAGAUGUAACGGGGCUAAACCAUGCACCGAAGCUGCGGCAGCGAACGUAUCACCCAAGACAACUUUACGGAGUUGACGAUUGACGGAGCGAAGCGACGUCAAAGCGUUCAUUAAAGUCGAGUUGGCUUAGGGAUACGUUCGUUGGGUAGGGGAGCGUUCUGUAAGCCUGUGAAGGUGUGUCGUGAGGCAUGCUGGAGGUAUCAGAAGUGCGAAUGCUGACAUAAGUAACGAUAAAGCGGGUGAAAAGCCCGCUCGCCGGAAGACCAAGGGUUCCUGUCCAACGUUAAUCGGGGCAGGGUGAGUCGACCCCUAAGGCGAGGCCGAAAGGCGUAGUCGAUGGGAAACGGGUUAAUAUUCCCGUACUUGGUGUUACUGCGAAGGGGGGACGGAGAAGGCUAUGUUGGCCGGGCGACGGUUGUCCCGGUUUAAGCGUGUAGGUGUGUGUUCCAGGUAAAUCCGGUUCACUUUAACACUGAGGCGUGACGACGAGGCACUACGGUGCUGAAGCAACAAAUGCCCUGCUUCCAGGAAAAGCCUCUAAGCAUCAGGUAACAUCAAAUCGUACCCCAAACCGACACAGGUGGUCAGGUAGAGAAUACCAAGGCGCUUGAGAGAACUCGGGUGAAGGAACUAGGCAAAAUGGUGCCGUAACUUCGGGAGAAGGCACGCUGACAUGUAGGUGAAGUGAUUUACUCAUGGAGCUGAAGUCAGUCGAAGAUACCAGCUGGCUGCAACUGUUUAUUAAAAACACAGCACUGUGCAAACACGAAAGUGGACGUAUACGGUGUGACGCCUGCCCGGUGCCGGAAGGUUAAUUGAUGGGGUCAGCGCAAGCGAAGCUCCUGAUCGAAGCCCCGGUAAACGGCGGCCGUAACUAUAACGGUCCUAAGGUAGCGAAAUUCCUUGUCGGGUAAGUUCCGACCUGCACGAAUGGCGUAAUGAUGGCCAGGCUGUCUCCACCCGAGACUCAGUGAAAUUGAACUCGCUGUGAAGAUGCAGUGUACCCGCGGCAAGACGGAAAGACCCCGUGAACCUUUACUAUAGCUUGACACUGAACAUUGAGCCUUGAUGUGUAGGAUAGGUGGGAGGCUUUGAAGCGUGGACGCCAGUCUGCGUGGAGCCGACCUUGAAAUACCACCCUUUAAUGUUUGAUGUUCUAACGUGGACCCGUGAUCCGGGUUGCGGACAGUGUCUGGUGGGUAGUUUGACUGGGGCGGUCUCCUCCUAAAGAGUAACGGAGGAGCACGAAGGUUGGCUAAUCCUGGUCGGACAUCAGGAGGUUAGUGCAAUGGCAUAAGCCAGCUUGACUGCGAGCGUGACGGCGCGAGCAGGUGCGAAAGCAGGUCAUAGUGAUCCGGUGGUUCUGAAUGGAAGGGCCAUCGCUCAACGGAUAAAAGGUACUCCGGGGAUAACAGGCUGAUACCGCCCAAGAGUUCAUAUCGACGGCGGUGUUUGGCACCUCGAUGUCGGCUCAUCACAUCCUGGGGCUGAAGUAGGUCCCAAGGGUAUGGCUGUUCGCCAUUUAAAGUGGUACGCGAGCUGGGUUUAGAACGUCGUGAGACAGUUCGGUCCCUAUCUGCCGUGGGCGCUGGAGAACUGAGGGGGGCUGCUCCUAGUACGAGAGGACCGGAGUGGACGCAUCACUGGUGUUCGGGUUGUCAUGCCAAUGGCACUGCCCGGUAGCUAAAUGCGGAAGAGAUAAGUGCUGAAAGCAUCUAAGCACGAAACUUGCCCUGAGAUGAGUUCUCCCUGAGACUUUAAGUCUCCUGAAGGAACGUUGAAGACGACGACGUUGAUAGGCCGGGUGUGUAAGCGCAGCGAUGCGUUGAGCUAACCGGUACUAAUGAACCGUGAGGCUUAACCUUACAACGCCGAAG